Molecule: ribosomal RNA, 253 nt
Filed under: uncultured bacterium
Lineage: Bacteria
Description: partial 16S ribosomal RNA
Rfam family: Bacterial small subunit ribosomal RNA
Source: RNAcentral
UACGUAGGGGGCAAGCGUUGUCCGGAAUCAUUGGGCGUAAAGCGCGCGUAGGCGGCCAGACAAGUCCGGUGUGAAAGUCACAGGCUCAACCUGUGAAUGCCGCUGGAAACUGUCUGGCUAGAGUCCGGAAGGGGCGAGUGGAAUUCCUGGUGUAGCGGUGAAAUUCGUAGAUAUUCGGAAGAACACCAGUGGCGAAGGCGGCUCACUGGCCCGGUACUGACGCUGAGGUGCGAAAGCGUGGGGAGCAAACAGG